RNAcentral lists this ribosomal RNA (496 nucleotides) under Disconectes sp. 02 SB-2021a. Its description in RNAcentral is "partial 16S ribosomal RNA". It matches the Rfam family "Bacterial large subunit ribosomal RNA", at positions 1816 to 2597 of the family's 2925-position model. Lineage: Eukaryota; Metazoa; Arthropoda; Malacostraca; Isopoda; Munnopsidae. The record is from RNAcentral.
CUCCUGUCUGAAUUAAUAACGACAGGUAGCCCCUGCUCAGUGAGAAAUUAAAUAGCCGCAGUAUCUUGACUGUGCUAAGGUAGCAUAAUAAAUUGUUCUUUUAAUAGAAGGCUAGAAUGAAAGGGGUGACGGUGCUUUAGCUUUCCUGGUUAAAUCAAUAGAAAUUGAUAUUUUCUUCAAAAAGUGAAACUUUUUAAAAAGACGACAAGACCCUGUAAAGCUUGAACUAAAGACAGUGUGUUUAAUUUUAGUUAAUAAACUAACUUUCAUUAGUUAAGCUGGGGCGGCAGAUUUACAGGCUAAAUCAAAUUUAACACUAAUUCGUGGGUAGAAAGACCUUUUUAUUAAGAUAGAAUAAGCUACUUUAGGGAUAACAGCACAAUUCCCCUGGAGAGGUCUUAUCGAUAGGGGAGACUUGUGACCUCGAUGUUGAAUUUGAGGGGCUCUCCUCAGGUAGAAGGGGGGAGAGAGGGGUCUGUUCGACCUUUAAUUCCUC